GAUGAACGCUGGCGGCGUGCUUAACACAUGCAAGUCGAACGAAGCACUUUAUUUGAUUUCCUUCGGGACUGAUUAUUUUGUGACUGAGUGGCGGACGGGUGAGUAACGCGUGGGUAACCUGCCUUGUACAGGGGGAUAACAGUUGGAAACGGCUGCUAAUACCGCAUAAGCGCACGGCAUCGCAUGAUGCAGUGUGAAAAACUCCGGUGGUAUAAGAUGGACCCGCGUUGGAUUAGCUAGUUGGUGAGGUAACGGCCCACCAAGGCGACGAUCCAUAGCCGACCUGAGAGGGUGACCGGCCACAUUGGGACUGAGACACGGCCCAAACUCCUACGGGAGGCAGCAGUGGGGAAUAUUGCACAAUGGGCGAAAGCCUGAUGCAGCGACGCCGCGUGAGCGAAGAAGUAUUUCGGUAUGUAAAGCUCUAUCAGCAGGGAAGAUAAUGACGGUACCUGACUAAGAAGCACCGGCUAAAUACUUG
This 481-nucleotide ribosomal RNA is filed under the name uncultured bacterium. RNAcentral's name for it is "partial 16S ribosomal RNA". It matches the Rfam family "Bacterial small subunit ribosomal RNA", at positions 28 to 507 of the family's 1533-position model. The record is from RNAcentral.